CCUACGGGAGGCAGCAGUGAGGAAUAUUGGUCAAUGGACGAGAGUCUGAACCAGCCACGUAGCGUGAAGGAUGACUGCCCUAUGGGUUGUAAACUUCUUUUAUAUGGGAAUAAAAUGUUCCACGUGUGGGAUUUUGUAUGUACCAUAUGAAUAAGGAUCGGCUAACUCCGUGCCAGCAGCCGCGGUAAUACGGAGGAUCCGAGCUUUAUCCGGAUUUAUUGGGUGUAAAGGGAGCGUAGGUGGAUUGUUAAGUCAGUUGUGAAAGUUUGCGGCUCAACCGUAAAAUUGCAGUUGAAACUGGCAGUCUUGAGUACAGUAGAGGUGGGCGGAAUUCGUGGUGUAGCGGUGAAAUGCUUAGAUAUCACGAAGAACUCCGAUUGCGAAGGCAGUUCACUGGACUGCAACUGACACUGAGGCUCGAAAGUGUGGGUAUCAAACAGGAUUAGAUACCCGUGUAGUC
RNAcentral lists this ribosomal RNA (460 nucleotides) under uncultured bacterium. Its description in RNAcentral is "partial 16S ribosomal RNA". It matches the Rfam family "Bacterial small subunit ribosomal RNA", at positions 338 to 795 of the family's 1533-position model. The record is from RNAcentral.